GAUGAACGCUGGCGGCGUGCCUAAUACAUGCAAGUCGAGCGAACGGACGAGAAGCUUGCUUCUCUGAUGUUAGCGGCGGACGGGUGGGUAACACGUGGAUAACCUACCUAUAAGACUGGGAUAACUUCGGGAAACCGGAGCUAAUACCGGAUAAUAUUUUGAUCCGCAUGGUUCAAAAGUGAAAGACGGUCUUGCUGUCACUUAUAGAUGGAUCCGCGCUGCAUUAGCUAGUUGGUAAGGUAACGGCUUACCAAGGCAACGAUGCAUAGCCGACCUGAGAGGGUGAUCGGCCACACUGGAACUGAGACACGGUCCAGACUCCUACGGGAGGCAGCAGUAGGGAAUCUUCCGCAAUGGGCGAAAGCCUGACGGAGCAACGCCGCGUGAGUGAUGAAGGUCUUCGGAUCGUAAAACUCUGUUAUUAGGGAAGAACAUAUGUGUAAGUAACUGUGCACAUCUUGACGGUACCUAAUCAGAAAGCCACGGCUAACUACGUG
RNAcentral lists this ribosomal RNA (497 nucleotides) under uncultured bacterium. RNAcentral's name for it is "partial 16S ribosomal RNA". It matches the Rfam family "Bacterial small subunit ribosomal RNA", at positions 28 to 507 of the family's 1533-position model. The record is from RNAcentral.